CAUUUGGGAAUGCAAAAACUGCCCACAACAACAACUCGAGUCGCUUCGGCAAGUUCAUCCAAGUGAAUUACCAGGAGAGUGGCACUGUCCGAGGAGCCUAUGUGGAGAAGUACCUUCUGGAGAAAUCAAGACUGGUCUACCAGGAGCACAAUGAACGGAACUACCAUGUGUUUUACUACGCUGGCAGGAGCAAGUGAGGAGGAGAGGAGCGCCUUUCACCUCAAAAAGCCUGAAGAAUAUCAUUACCUCAAGCACCAGGUGAGAGAUCCAGUAGGA
Salvelinus sp. IW2-2015 is the source of this 276-nucleotide long non-coding RNA. RefSeq lists it as uncharacterized. The record is from RefSeq and is a predicted model, not a curated record. Lineage: Eukaryota; Metazoa; Chordata; Actinopteri; Salmoniformes; Salmonidae.